UCUCCGUUGGUGAACCAGCGGAGGGAUCAUUACAGGACUCGCAAGACUCCUUCACCCUGUGAACCUCACUACAAGCACGUUGCUUCGGCGGGUGUCCCGGCGGGGGUUUUCCCUCGCCGGGGCGCACAGCCCGCCGGCAGCCUACUAUACUCUGUCUCUUUGCGUUAGCAUCUCGAGAAAAAACAAACAAGUUAAAACUUUCAACAACGGAUCUCUUGGUUCUG
RNAcentral lists this unclassified non-coding RNA (224 nucleotides) under plant metagenome. Its description in RNAcentral is "partial contains small subunit ribosomal RNA, internal transcribed spacer 1, and 5.8S ribosomal RNA". The record is from RNAcentral.